CAGGGUCUUGCUCUGUUGCCCAGGCUGAAGUGCAGUAGCAUGAUCUUGGCUCAAGUCAACCUCCACCUCCCGAGUUCAAGCAAUCCUCCCAUUUCAGCCUCCUGAGUAGCUGAUACCACAGCAGGCAGAAGGGAAGAUGAGUUCGUUUUCAAAAAUACCAACGUUGAAACUCUGCACAAGUUUGUUAUUUAUUUAUUCCCAGAGAGAGAGACACCUUCCCAUUGUAAAGCAUUCCAGAAUUCCUUCCUCUGAGAGCGGGACAGGAUCCUCUCUAGAAUGUUGAUCUUAUGACCUACAGUCAAACAAGGCAUUUCGUAAGUUUCUUUUUCUUUGGAGUCUGGUACUGGAGAAUUGUGUUCAUUUAGAGACGGCCCUUAUCAGAUGUAGACCCUCAGUCUUGGACUUCUCAGCCUCCAGAAUUAUGAGCCAAAUAAAUUUAUUUUCAUUAUAAAUUACUCAGUCUGUGGUAUUUUUUUACAGCAGUACACAAUAGAUUAAGACAAUGGAAUACUGUAUAUGCCCCGAAAGUUGUUUUUCCUAUUUUCUCUUUCAGGAAAUGUAAAUAAUUGCAUAUGCUCUAUUAAAUGUCAAAUGACUAUGUCCCAUAUUUGUUUAUAGAAAAUAUUUUUAACCCAUCACUCUGAGCAAAACUUACAAAGUGCUGAAAUAUUUUGAAGUGAAAUGGAAACUUACUUUCAUAUUAUGGCAUCUUGACAAUUUGUUAGUUCCAAAUUCUAGCAAACAUUUUUUUCCUUCUAAGAUUGAGAUGUUCUAUUAGCAACACUUCAGGAAGGGAGAACCUGUGACUUUCCUCUAUUUUGUUGGUAAUUAUAAGCAGGAGGCAGUCACAGCUCAACUACGUGUUGUAGGUGUGUGCUUGGUUUGGGAAGGAGGUUUACUUUGAGGAGAAAAACUAACCUAUUAUCUAUGGAGUAAGAAAAUGCCAGCCAGCGCAAAUCUAAAAGUUUUUCAAUUAAGCCAAGUAAUUAGAUUUUGGAAUGUAGCCAGUGAACUUCCACUAAACAAUCUAAAUUGUGAAACUCAAUGCCACUUCCAAAAAGGUUGUGUAAGAAUUAUAAAUAAAAGUGAAACGGAAUAGAAAAUGUCCAACGCAUGCACUUAUGACAAAUGUGCUCCAGGACCGAAAACAGAAAAAUAUGCUUUCCAAGUUUCUCACAGCAUAAUGUGUCCUAAUGAAUUUUACAUGGGAAUUAAAUGUAUGAAAGCAGUACACUGAAUGAGCAUAGUUUUCAUAAACAUAACCAAGCCUCUCUAAAAUGGAAUUCUCUUUACCCACUAUAAUAUUGCAUACCACUGUAUGACAGAAUGUAGACUCCACAAAAUGAAUGCCAUUGUCUUUUUGAAUAGUAUGUUUGCAGUCAUAAAAAUAAAAUCAGUCUUUUUAUUAGGUUAGGUUACAAAUCAAAAUUGAAAAAUUAUCAGUAAGAAAUAGUAUUUUUAAUAGGGGUUAAAUACAAACUUUGAUGUGCUUUUCAGAUAGUCUAAUUUAACUCUCAUUACAUCUCUAAGAAGUAAAAUACUGAACAUGUUAUAUUUAAAUCACGAAUUAAAAUAAGAGCUAUUUUAAAAAAAUCUUUUCUAAAACUUAACUUUGGAAUCAUCUCACGCUGCUUGUUCUUUCAUUUUUACCUGCACUCUUUUAUAUCUUUUUGCAUUUACUUUUUGUCUUGUUUUAGAAGAGAACAUAAGAAUGUCAAAGUGGUGUGUAUAUAUUUAAUCGACCUCCUGCUGCAAAUACCUAACAUUGUGGAGCUUUAUGCUAUGAAAUAGAAUAUUGACAAUGAUGAAAACUAUUAGACAAAAUAAAACCAUAUGUAUUUUUAUAGCCCAGAAAUCUCUGUCAUGAUGGAAUAUAAGUGCUGCCUACGCAUUUAUGAGGACAUAUGAGACCAUUAAAAUGAAAACAUCUCUUAAUCAUGAAAGACAGCUCUUCAAAUACCCCAUGCUUAUGAAUAAUGGAUUGUUAGAGGUUACAAACAAUGUCUAGUGUUCCCUAACCCGCUUCCCACAGACACAUAAUCAUCUGGAAGACGCCCUAUUAUUUUUCUGAGUAUCUCUCAGGAACAGGAAAGAUGGUUCAGAGCCAGAAGUACAUAGAGUGACAAUGUAAGAUGGUACCUUAUGCUUACACAGAGUUUUAGUCAAGAUAUGGGAAGUUAGAGGAAUUAGAUGAUAUGUAUUUUUUUUUUACAAUGCUGUGAAACAUGCCUUUGCACUCUGAAGUGCAAAAAUGAAAAAUAGAAUAGAAAAAGUAUAAAAGCUUGAAACAUAGCUAUUGUAAAUAUAAUAGCAAAAUGUUUUAUUUUUCUUGAUAAAAAGACAAUGAGAAUCUGCCACGGAGCUCCGAAACAAAGUUGAUUUUGCAUGAUGUAUAUACGCAAGAUUGACAACUCAGAGUUCUAUAUGAGCUAAAGAAAUAGAGGGGAAAAAAGGCUAUUCAUUCCUCGCAAGUUACUCUGCCUACCCUUUUUAUCUGAUCUCCAUUUGAAGACAGAUAGUUAUAAGAGUAUGAAACUUCUCUAUAGAGAACUCUCAAGUGAACUCACUAUGUCCUGAAAAUAGCUGAAUGUUCUAGUAUCUCAUCACUAACCCUGGAUUCUUUGGUUCCCAACUGUCCAUCGAUUUAUUAUUACUGAGAACUAAUGUAUUAUUAUUGAGAAUCAGGAUGCCUUCUCCCACAACAAUACUACAAAUCUCUGGCCUUUGUUACUUAUGAACUGCAAGGUCUGGAAGCCAAGAAGUUCAUGGCAAGUCCCAGGUCAGGACCAUAGACUGUGGACCACAUCUAUCAGUAAGAAGAGUCUUAGUACAGAAUUACCUCCUUUGUUCAGCAGGAAAGGAUGGCAAAUUGGAGGAAUUCACAUUCAGCAGCCGAGUUUGUUCUGACACUGUGAGCCUCUACUUUUUCUAAAAAGUCGAAAAAAUUUUGACACCACUUGGAGUCAAAAUACCUAUGCUUACAUAUCAACAAUAGGACUCACUGCUUGUGUAACUUGGGGAUCUCAAUGGUAAGUACUGCUCCUAAAAUGAGGAAGUUAGUUCAGUGAGAUCUAAUUCAGGUAUUAGAUUAUUGGUGAGAAUUUAUUUUAUUUUAUUUUAUUUUUGAAACGGAGUUUCGCUCUUGUCGCCCAGGCUGGAGUGCAAUGGCAGAAUCUCAGCUCACUGCAACCUCCACCUCCCUGUUCAAGUGAUUCUCCUGCCUUAGCCUUCUGAGUAGCUGGGGAUUAUAGGCAUGUGCCACCACACCUGGCUACUUUUUGUAUUGUCAGUAGAGACAAGGUUUUGCCAUGUUGGCCAGGAUGGUCUCAAACUCCAGAUUGCAACAAUUUUCUCCCAUUCUGUAGGUUGCCUGUUCACU
RNAcentral lists this long non-coding RNA (3379 nucleotides) under Homo sapiens (human). RNAcentral describes it as "HSALNT0191449". Lineage: Eukaryota; Metazoa; Chordata; Mammalia; Primates; Hominidae. The record is from RNAcentral.